GACGAACGCUGGCGGCGUGCCUAAUACAUGCAAGUGGGACGCAAGGGAACACACUGUGCUUGCACACCGUGUUUUCUUGAGUCGCGAACGGGUGAGUAACGCGUAGGUAACCUGCCUAUUAGCGGGGGAUAACUAUUGGAAACGAUAGCUAAUACCGCAUAAUAUUAAUUAUUGCAUGAUAAUUGAUUGAAAGAUGCAAGCGCAUCACUAGUAGAUGGACCUGCGUUGUAUUAGCUAGUUGGUAAGGUAAGAGCUUACCAAGGCGACGAUACAUAGCCGACCUGAGAGGGUGAUCGGCCACACUGGGACUGAGACACGGCCCAGACUCCUACGGGAGGCAGCAGUAGGGAAUCUUCGGCAAUGGACGAAAGUCUGACCGAGCAACGCCGCGUGAGUGAAGAAG
Molecule: ribosomal RNA, 403 nt
Filed under: Streptococcus mutans
Lineage: Bacteria; Bacillati; Bacillota; Bacilli; Lactobacillales; Streptococcaceae
Description: bacterial SSU rRNA
Rfam family: Bacterial small subunit ribosomal RNA
Source: RNAcentral